CUCCUUCCCCCUUCCUCGCGCGUCGCUGCGCUGCCGUGACCCUGCCGCCGCCCACCACCACCUACCGGGAUCUGGCCGGCAACCACGGGAUUGAUCCCGACCACCAUGGCUCCCCACCACACCACCACCUCCACCUCCCGUCCCGCACACCAAAAAAUCCCGACCACUAUCGCCCCGCCUCCUCCUCCUGCUGCCCGGCUCGGCCCUCCUCCCACCUGGCGUCGCCCUGCCUCCUCCUCCCGCCCGGCGAGGCCCCGCCUCAUCCUCCUCCCUCCUGGCGCAGCCCUCCUUCCACCUGGCGCCGACCCGCCUCCUCCUCCCGGCGGGCACGCCUCUGUCCCGCAACGCCGCCCUAGCGAUGGCCCCGGCCCCGCUCCACUCCAGCCAUGAUAGUUUUUUCUACUACUGUGAGUGUGUCUGCAGUCCACCGGCCCCCUCCUCUACUUCAGAUCCCGUGCAACCUUCCAAUGCAGUUCGUCACACCAACCCCCUGCAGCUCUCUCCUCCCCAAACCAUGGAUCGCGCGCCCGGAUCCGGGUUCUUCCCCCGUGCAUCGUACUCUUCUCGCACGGAUCGAGAGAGUUCGAGGUGUGCCACCCCCGCCGUGGUCCUGCCUACUUCUCCUCCUUCCCUGCUACACCAGCAGGGCGUCGGUCACAGGAUCUGCCUCCCCCCUAUUUGCAGCUCCUUUGUUUCUUUUUUGCAGCUCGCUGAGUAUUAUUUUGAAGUUCAGUGAGAUCCAUGUGCGCCGGAUCAUGCGUUGCCGACCCCCCUGCAUGCCUCCUCGCACGCGAGGUGCUGCGCUGUGUAGGGAGGCGUCUACACCAGCGUCGGGGCCCGUUCCACCACGGAGAGAAAAAGUGCGUCGAAAAAGGGCAAGAAAAGUGUUGUUGUCCACCGUCGAUGAGAGCCCAACGGGCACUGUGAUGCAGUUCUGUCCACCUGCGUGUGCAGCCCAGAAAUAAUCUAUGGCCUAACUGUGUUUUUCUUUUAAGAAAAGAGUCAAGUGGACUGCGGUUGGCUGUUUUGAAGUGUCCUACAGUAGGAGGAGAACCAACCCUUCUACUCUACUUGUGAACAGAAGUUCAGUCCGACACAUACGUGCAUGCACUGAGGCAGGAACGCGGGCGGCGGUUAUGAUCAGAAGGAGUACACUUAUAAUAUGUUUGGGUGUUCGCUUUGAACUCUCUUGAAGCUCAUUCGGGCUCAAACAACAAACGUAUCACUUCGAGGAGUACUGCGGUCCACUUCAGUCAAAUGUAUUUAUUUUUUUGUAAAAAAUAGAUGUAUUCCGUUUGGACACUGCUUGCGGUUUGCACGGCUCGUGUGUGAAGUGCACGAUGUGCUUGUGUGUUUCAAAACCUAGUCAAUUAUGUGAA
Molecule: long non-coding RNA, 1379 nt
Organism: Triticum dicoccoides
Lineage: Eukaryota; Viridiplantae; Streptophyta; Magnoliopsida; Poales; Poaceae
Exons: 2
Source: RefSeq, a predicted model, not a curated record